This 1136-nucleotide ribosomal RNA is filed under the name Vibrio parahaemolyticus. RNAcentral describes it as "bacterial SSU rRNA". It matches the Rfam family "Bacterial small subunit ribosomal RNA", at positions 339 to 1468 of the family's 1533-position model. Lineage: Bacteria; Pseudomonadati; Pseudomonadota; Gammaproteobacteria; Vibrionales; Vibrionaceae. The record is from RNAcentral.
CUACGGGAGGCAGCAGUGGGGAAUAUUGCACAAUGGGCGCAAGCCUGAUGCAGCCAUGCCGCGUGUGUGAAGAAGCUUCGGGUGUAAAGCACUUUCAGUCGUGAGGAAGGUAGUGUAGUUAAUAGCUGCAUUAUUUGACGUUAGCGACAGAAGAAGCACCGGCUAACUCCGUGCCAGCAGCCGCGGUAAUACGGAGGGUGCGAGCGUUAAUCGGAAUUACUGGGCGUAAAGCGCAUGCAGGUGGUUUGUUAAGUCAGAUGUGAAAGCCCGGGGCUCAACCUCGGAAUUGCAUUUGAAACUGGCAGACUAGAGUACUGUAGAGGGGGGUAGAAUUUCAGGUGUAGCGGUGAAAUGCGUAGAGAUCUGAAGGAAUACCGGUGGCGAAGGCGGCCCCCUGGACAGAUACUGACACUCAGAUGCGAAAGCGUGGGGAGCAAACAGGAUUAGAUACCCUGGUAGUCCACGCCGUAAACGAUGUCUACUUGGAGGUUGUGGCCUUGAGCCGUGGCUUUCGGAGCUAACGCGUUAAGUAGACCGCCUGGGGAGUACGGUCGCAAGAUUAAAACUCAAAUGAAUUGACGGGGGCCCGCACAAGCGGUGGAGCAUGUGGUUUAAUUCGAUGCAACGCGAAGAACCUUACCUACUCUUGACAUCCAGAGAACUUUCCAGAGAUGGAUUGGUGCCUUCGGGAACUCUGAGACAGGUGCUGCAUGGCUGUCGUCAGCUCGUGUUGUGAAAUGUUGGGUUAAGUCCCGCAACGAGCGCAACCCUUAUCCUUGUUUGCCAGCGAGUAAUGUCGGGAACUCCAGGGAGACUGCCGGUGAUAAACCGGAGGAAGGUGGGGACGACGUCAAGUCAUCAUGGCCCUUACGAGUAGGGCUACACACGUGCUACAAUGGCGCAUACAGAGGGCAGCCAACUUGCGAAAGUGAGCGAAUCCCAAAAAGUGCGUCGUAGUCCGGAUUGGAGUCUGCAACUCGACUCCAUGAAGUCGGAAUCGCUAGUAAUCGUGGAUCAGAAUGCCACGGUGAAUACGUUCCCGGGCCUUGUACACACCGCCCGUCACACCAUGGGAGUGGGCUGCAAAAGAAGUAGGUAGUUUAACCUUCGGGGGGACGCUUACCACUUUUUACGGG